CAGACGAGAGGUCAGUUGUUAGAUGCAUGCAGGUCAAUGUGCCCACAGCACACCAGGGCCAUUCCUUUUCUUCCUAGUUUGCCGGUGUCCUUGUCUAUCAUCCAGCAAGCUUGUCUCAGCCAAGGGCCGAUGUGAGUUGGAGUUUUGCUCCCUCGGAGGCACCCCUUUGAGGCGAGGGACCAGCAGAGCAUCAACAGCAGCAGCGAGGUGGCACUUCUGAGCCCAGGUCUCCCUCUAGUGACCAGUCCGGGGACAACAGCGAGAGGCUCCUGCUCACUCUUCGGAGUGAAUGCCCCUUCCAGAACCUGCUUUCCAAAAAUGCUAUCUGAUCCUGUGGUGCUUGGCUUAGAAACCUCAAAAACGAAGCAAAAUUUCUCAAGCUCCACGGCCCCCGCGUUGGUCUUCGAGGGAAAAGCAAAGCCCACGCCUCUGUCGGGCGGACGAGGUCCUUCCCAACGCAGUCCUAGGUUGAAGUGAUGCUGCUGCUAUAAGAUCCAGGUCAAGAACCAUCCAGAUUCACCCAAACAGAAUUCUCCAGCUUCCGUCAGGGAGGGUUAAGAAGAGGGAAACUUUGGUUCCAGAAGAUUCCUGAGGUCCUUAUACCAACUGGCCAUAAAAGAAUUCAGCUUAGGAUGGUGCAGCUUUCAUACAUGGUUCUUGCCCAGAGGAGCUCACAGGCUGUGGGAAUAGUCCUCCCCCCGCCAGGGCAGGAGGCAAAUUUCUCCGCAAACAGAAAAAUGCCAGGCUGUGUAAAGCAGGACUCAUGCUCCAACGGCUGACUCACAUCACCAAACCCCAAGAGACCUAAGCCUAAAGCCAGAAAAGCAGUUUAAUCAUUUUCUAAUAAGAAGUAGUCCCUGUAAACGGGUUGAUAGGCUACUUGUGUUUGCUGACCAGCAGUUUCUCUCCCUGUGAGCUUAUGAUUACAAAUGAAAAUAAAAAUAGAAAAAUGGUCACGAUAACAGUUCCAUUUACUCUGUUGAGUGCCUACUGCAUGCGAGGUACUGCGCUGAGCAUUUUAUCUUCAUCUUCUUAAAUUAGUCUCUCUACAACACUAUACAGCAUCACCAACUCAAUGGACAUGAGUUUGAGUAAGCUCCGGGAGUUGGUGAUGGACAGGGAGGCCUGGCGUGCUACAGUCCAUGGGGUCACAAAAGAGUCGGACACGACUAGGCGACUGAACUGAACUGAACAACACUGUACAGUGGGUACUAUUUUUAUCCCCACUUUGCAACAGGGUUCAUAAAUGUUUACAGCAAAUAAGUAGUGGACCCACGAUUCAAACCCAGUUCUUCGUGUUCCUGAGGCCCAGGCUCUGAAUUUCCCACCCACCUGGCCUCUCCUCCCCUUCUGGG
Molecule: long non-coding RNA, 1355 nt
Organism: Cervus elaphus (red deer)
Lineage: Eukaryota; Metazoa; Chordata; Mammalia; Artiodactyla; Cervidae
Exons: 3
Source: RefSeq, a predicted model, not a curated record